UACGUAGGGUGCGAGCGUUGUCCGGAAUUACUGGGCGUAAAGAGCUCGUAGGCGGUUUGUCGCGUUGUUCGUGAAAACUCACGGCUUAACUGUGAGCGUGCGGGCGAUACGGGCAGACUGGAGUACUGCAGGGGAGACUGGAAUUCCUGGUGUAGCGGUGGAAUGCGCAGAUAUCAGGAGGAACACCGGUGGCGAAGGCGGGUCUCUGGGCAGUAACUGACGCUGAGGAGCGAAAGCGUGGGGAGCGAACAGG
RNAcentral lists this ribosomal RNA (253 nucleotides) under uncultured bacterium. RNAcentral describes it as "partial 16S ribosomal RNA". It matches the Rfam family "Bacterial small subunit ribosomal RNA", at positions 524 to 776 of the family's 1533-position model. The record is from RNAcentral.